This 655-nucleotide long non-coding RNA is filed under the name Phoenix dactylifera (date palm). RNAcentral describes it as "long non-coding RNA (PDAC_LNC019767)". The record is from RNAcentral. Lineage: Eukaryota; Viridiplantae; Streptophyta; Magnoliopsida; Arecales; Arecaceae.
AAAGUUAGGUGAUUAGGUGAGUGCAGCUUUAUCUUUGUCAUUUUUAUAUGAUCAUUUGUUUUUGUUCGAGAAAUUAUAAAAGGGAGUUGUUGAGAGUAAUAUACCUAUUUUCAGAAAUAAAAUAUAAAGUAGAAUAUUAUCCUAUCCAUAAAGUUUAGCCGUCUGAGUUGGGGACAUUUGUGAAUACCUGAUUCAUAUCUCUGUCAGUUGAAAACACAUAGGGCUCGUUUGGUUCGCGGGAAGCAUUUUUCCUCCUAGGAAUAUGAUUCCUGGGAAACAAAUUCCUAGGAAGAGGAUGCCUAGGAAAGUACUUUUGGCAUGUUUGGUUAACCAUGGGAAAGUGACAAAUUUCCAAAGUGCUUAUGUUUGGUUGGCAAUCCACUUUCCUGGAAAAGUUAUGUAUAAUUUCUAUUAUGCCCUUAAUAAAAAUUAGGUUUUUAAUGCCUCUUUAAUGCUUCUUUAAUGCUGAAGGGCCUUUUUGGGAAAAAAUAAAAAUAAAGUGAUUCCCGCCUCAUGGGAAAGUAACUUUACCAUGUUUCUCAUAGGAAAGACUUUUCCAUGAAAUGUGGAAAUCAUAUUCCCAUGGGAAUAUAACUUUCCCAUCUCUCUUCUUUGAAAACUCCAACCAAACAAGAGGCAUCUCGUUACUUUCCCG